CCUACGGGAGGCAGCAGUGAGGAAUAUUGGUCAAUGGGCGAGAGCCUGAACCAGCCAAGUCGCGUGAAGGAUGACGGCCCUACGGGUUGUAAACUUCUUUUGUCAGGGAGCAAUUGGGUCCACGCGUGGGCUUAGCGAGAGUACCUGAAGAAAAAGCAUCGGCUAACCCCGUGCCAGCAGCCGCGGUAAUACGGAGGAUGGGAGCGUUAUCCGGAUUUAUGGGGUUUAAAGGGUGCGUAGGCGGAAUAUCAAGUCAGCGGUAAAAAUUCGGGGCUAAACCCCGUCGUGCCGUUGAAACUGAUGUUCUUGAGUGGGCGAGAAGUAUGCGGAAUGCGUGGUGUAGCGGUGAAAUGCAUAGAUAUCACGCAGAACUCCGAUUGCGAAGGCAGCAUACCGGCGCCCAACUGACGCUGAAGCACGAAAGCGUGGGUAUCGAACAGGAUUAGAUACCCUUGUAGUC
This 460-nucleotide ribosomal RNA is filed under the name uncultured bacterium. Its description in RNAcentral is "partial 16S ribosomal RNA". It matches the Rfam family "Bacterial small subunit ribosomal RNA", at positions 338 to 795 of the family's 1533-position model. The record is from RNAcentral.